GCGGCGGUGGUGGAAGGGUAGACACGCUAUUUUGAGGUGAUAGUGGCAUUGCUAUGGGAGUUCAAAUCUCCCUCGCCGCA
RNAcentral lists this transfer RNA (80 nucleotides) under Deltaproteobacteria bacterium. RNAcentral's name for it is "tRNA-Ser". It matches the Rfam family "tRNA". Rfam says of the family: Transfer RNA (tRNA) molecules are approximately 80 nucleotides in length. Lineage: Bacteria; Pseudomonadati; Myxococcota; Myxococcia. The record is from RNAcentral.